GACGAACGCUGGCGGCGUGCUUAACACAUGCAAGUCGAACGGAAAGGCCCUGCUUUUGUGGGGUGCUCGAGUGGCGAACGGGUGAGUAACACGUGAGUAACCUGCCCUUGACUUUGGGAUAACUUCAGGAAACUGGGGCUAAUACCGGAUAGGAGCUCCUGCUGCAUGGUGGGGGUUGGAAAGUUUCGGCGGUUGGGGAUGGACUCGCGGCUUAUCAGCUUGGUGGUGGGGUAGUGGCUUACCAAGGCUUUGACGGGUAGCCGGCCUGAGAGGGUGACCGGCCACAUUGGGACUGAGAUACGGCCCAGACGCCUACGGGAGGCAGCAGUAGUGAAUAGUGCACAAUGGGCGGAAGCCUGAUGCAGCAACGCCGCGUGCGGGAUGACGGCCUUCGGGUUGUAAACCGCUUGCGCCUGUGACGAAGCGUGAGUGACGGUAAUGGGUAAAGAAGCACCGGCUAACUACGUG
Molecule: ribosomal RNA, 468 nt
Filed under: uncultured bacterium
Lineage: Bacteria
Description: partial 16S ribosomal RNA
Rfam family: Bacterial small subunit ribosomal RNA
Source: RNAcentral